CCUACGGGAGGCAGCAGUGAGGAAUAUUGGUCAAUGGACGAGAGUCUGAACCAGCCAAGUAGCGUGAAGGAUGACUGCCCUAUGGGUUGUAAACUUCUUUUAUAUGGGAAUAAAAUGUUCCACGUGUGGGAUUUUGUAUGUACCAUAUGAAUAAGGAUCGGCUAACUCCGUGCCAGCAGCCGCGGUAAUACGGAGGAUCCGAGCGUUAUCCGGAUUGAUUUGGUUUAAAGGGAGCGUAGGUGGAUUGUUAAGUCAGUUGUGAAAGUUUGCGGCUCAACCGUAAAAUUGCAGUUGAAACUGGCAGUCUUGAGUACAGUAGAGGUGGGCGUAAUUCGUGGUGUAGCGGUGAAAUGCUUAGAUAUCACGAAGAACUCCGAUUGCGAAGGCAGUUCACUGGACUGCAACUGACACUGAGGCUCGAAAGUGUGGGUAUCAAACAGGAUUAGAUACCCUAGUAGUC
Molecule: ribosomal RNA, 460 nt
Filed under: uncultured bacterium
Lineage: Bacteria
Description: partial 16S ribosomal RNA
Rfam family: Bacterial small subunit ribosomal RNA
Source: RNAcentral